UAUGGAAGUUAAAUGAUUUUUUUUUGAAAUGAAAAUGGAGUAUAUUGAAUGUUUAUAUGUUUUUAGAGUAUUUGAAAAGUUUUAAUUUGUAGAAAUUUGUUGUACGAGUUUUUUGAAAGUAAGAAUUUUUAUGUAUGGAUAUGUUUUUAUGUUUUAGAUUGUGUUUCGAAUAUAGUGUAUAUAUUAAUUUAGGAAAGGAAAGAAUUGAUUCGUUAAAUAGAUAAAGAGAUUAAAAGUGUCGAGUUAAGUGAUUUUUUGAGGCGUUUAAGAGUUUUUUUGUUUUUUAUAUAUUAAGUAAAUAUUGAGUAUUUACGAUGAGUUAGGAGGUAUGUAAUAAGUUUUAGGGAAUAGAAGGCGGAGAGAAGAAGAUAUAGAGUUUUUGUUUUUAUUGAGAUGAUUUUAAUGAUAUAUGAUAGGUAGAUUUUUUGAGAAUUUAUAGAGGGGUUUUUUUUUUUA
This 456-nucleotide unclassified non-coding RNA is filed under the name Hevea brasiliensis (rubber tree). Lineage: Eukaryota; Viridiplantae; Streptophyta; Magnoliopsida; Malpighiales; Euphorbiaceae. The record is from RNAcentral.